RNAcentral lists this long non-coding RNA (761 nucleotides) under Homo sapiens (human). RNAcentral describes it as "SLC6A12 antisense RNA 1 (SLC6A12-AS1)". Lineage: Eukaryota; Metazoa; Chordata; Mammalia; Primates; Hominidae. The record is from RNAcentral.
GCUGUGCUCGCGGCCGUCCGGCCCGUCCGGCAGCCCCGGGUCAGCCCGGUGAACUAAGCGGACCCGGGAUGGCCGAGCCGGGGGCCGGCGUUCUGUGCUCCGUUUGCUCACCCUGACCGUGGCACCCGCAUAAGCCGUCUGUGUGUUCCAGAGAGGCCAGCCCUGCAUGUGCUGUCCGUGAGCGUGCUUGGACCUACGCAUAGGACCCAGCUGAGCGGGACAUUUACACGACUGCUGGGGUCGAGGGCAGAACAGGGGGAAACUGUGUUCUGGCGGAGGCACAGCACCCCGGGAGCACCCAGAGCCUGAAGAACACCGGGAUGCCGCAGACAAAGAAGAAGAUGAAGUAGGGGAUGAAGAAGGCUCCUGCAGAAGAGAGAGAGGCAGGGCUGAGCCACACCCGGGCUCUUCCUCAGCCUCCAUCCUUUCAGACCCUCCUCCCCCAACAAACCCGCCCUCCACCAUCCUGUUCUUAAUCUCCCUCCUGACACUUUCCAAGGGCCCACUCCUGCCUGCGUGCAGUCCUGAGUGUUAGGCAGGCACAGGUGGGAAUGUUCUGAUCUGAACCCUACACAGAAUGAGAAAGGCCUUGGAAGGGAAAUUAGUGAAAACUUAGGUGGAAAUUCUAAUAUAUGCACUAUUUAUUUUCUUAGUGUGCUUUACAAAUCUAGUCAAUAGAUUAUUUUUGGAAUAAACACAUGGCUUCUGUAUAACUUGAUAUGCUUAUUAAACUCUUGGUACAUUUUAGAGAAAAACAAACA